Molecule: ribosomal RNA, 599 nt
Filed under: uncultured Bacteroidales bacterium
Lineage: Bacteria; Pseudomonadati; Bacteroidota; Bacteroidia; Bacteroidales
Description: bacterial SSU rRNA
Rfam family: Bacterial small subunit ribosomal RNA
Source: RNAcentral
GCCUAACACAUGCAAGUCGAGGGGCAUCGGGAUUGAAGCUUGCUUCAAUUGCCGGCGACCGGCGCACGGGUGCGUAACGCGUAUGUAACCUACCUAUAACAGGGGCAUAACACUGAGAAAUUGGUACUAAUUCCCCAUAAUAUUCGGAGAGGCAUCUCUCCGGGUUGAAAACUCCGGUGGUUAUAGAUGGACAUGCGUUGUAUUAGCUAGUUGGUGAGGUAACGGCUCACCAAGGCAACGAUACAUAGGGGGACUGAGAGGUUAACCCCCCACACUGGUACUGAGACACGGACCAGACUCCUACGGGAGGCAGCAGUGAGGAAUAUUGGUCAAUGGACGCAAGUCUGAACCAGCCAUGCCGCGUGCAGGAAGACGGCUCUAUGAGUUGUAAACUGCUUUUGUACGAGGGUAAACUCACCUACGUGUAGGUGACUGAAAGUAUCGUACGAAUAAGGAUCGGCUAACUCCGUGCCAGCAGCCGCGGUAAUACGGAGGAUUCAAGCGUUAUCCGGAUUUAUUGGGUUUAAAGGGUGCGUAGGCGGUUUGAUAAGUUAGAGGUGAAAUCCCGGGGCUUAACUCCGGAACUGCCUCUAAUACUG